This is a non-coding RNA of Marmota flaviventris (yellow-bellied marmot), 452 nucleotides long. NCBI's taxonomy places the organism in Eukaryota, Metazoa, Chordata, Mammalia, Rodentia, Sciuridae. The record is from RefSeq and is a predicted model, not a curated record.
CCUGCCUCAGCCUCCCAAGUUGCUGGCAUUACAGGCCUCUCAGAUAAGCUGCCGUGGAGAAACUGGCUGUGGUGAUAACAGUUCAUGGUCCUGUCACCUGCUCUUGAGCUGUAACCCCCAAAGCAGGCUGGAGAGGUCCCUGAGUUGAAGCUCUUACCAAACCCAGGACCUGAAGAAGUUCAUCUCACGGAACAACCAAUGGCCCAGAGAUGAGUGUUGGGGAGACGGAAAGGCUUUCUUCAGCGGCCAGAGAAUGGAGAAGAGGGAGCUUUGCUCACAAAUGGAGGGGUUGCAGAUAUAGAAUACAUAGGAGAGUCGGGGACCUUUCACAAGGAAAAAUUCAUGCCCUGCUUUAAUGGAUAAAGAGCUUGGCAUGGUGAAACAUGCCUGUAAUCCCAGCAGCUCGGAAGACUGAGACGGGAGAAUCACAAGUUCAAAGCCAGCCUCGGCAA